GGUGACUCAGUGGUAGAGUGUUUGCCUUGCAUGCAUGAGGUCCUGGGUUCGAUUCCUCAGCACCA
Molecule: transfer RNA, 65 nt
Filed under: Dipodomys ordii (Ord's kangaroo rat)
Lineage: Eukaryota; Metazoa; Chordata; Mammalia; Rodentia; Heteromyidae
Rfam family: tRNA
About the family: Transfer RNA (tRNA) molecules are approximately 80 nucleotides in length. Their secondary structure includes four short double-helical elements and three loops (D, anti-codon, and T loops). Further hydrogen bonds mediate the characteristic L-shaped molecular structure. tRNAs have two regions of fundamental functional importance: the anti-codon, which is responsible for specific mRNA codon recognition, and the 3' end, to which the tRNAs corresponding amino acid is attached (by aminoacyl-tRNA synthetases). tRNAs cope with the degeneracy of the genetic code in two manners: having more than one tRNA (with a specific anti-codon) for a particular amino acid; and 'wobble' base-pairing, i.e. permitting non-standard base-pairing at the 3rd anti-codon position.
Source: Rfam by way of RNAcentral